GUAGGGUGCAAGCGUUAAUCGGAAUUACUGGGCGUAAAGCGUGCGCAGGCGGUGAUGUAAGACAGUUGUGAAAUCCCCGGGCUCAACCUGGGAACUGCAUCUGUGACUGCAUUGCUGGAGUGCGGCAGAGGGGGAUGGAAUUCCGCGUGUAGCAGUGAAAUGCGUAGAUAUGCGGAGGAACACCGAUGGCGAAGGCAAUCCCCUGGGCCUGCACUGACGCUCAUGCACGAAAGCGUGGGGAGCAAACAGGAUUAGAUACCCUGGUAGUCCACGCCCUAAACGAUGUCAACUGGUUGUUGGGUCUUCACUGACUCAGUAACGAAGCUAACGCGUGAAGUUGACCGCCUGGGGAGUACGGCCGCAAGGUUG
This 369-nucleotide ribosomal RNA is filed under the name uncultured bacterium. RNAcentral's name for it is "bacterial SSU rRNA". It matches the Rfam family "Bacterial small subunit ribosomal RNA", at positions 527 to 896 of the family's 1533-position model. The record is from RNAcentral.